UUGUCAGAUGGGAUAAUCCUUACUGAUUCCUCCUUAUGGAGGGCAGAUGAGCAAAUGAUUGGAAUUUGCAUGAUAUGUGAUUAUACAUCUCUGCAUAAUCAGGACUUGCAACACCCUGAUUGCUCCUAUCUGAU
Molecule: small nucleolar RNA, 134 nt
Filed under: Propithecus coquereli (Coquerel's sifaka)
Lineage: Eukaryota; Metazoa; Chordata; Mammalia; Primates; Indriidae
Description: U8 small nucleolar RNA (ENSPCOG00000002151.1)
Rfam family: U8 small nucleolar RNA
About the family: U8 is a member of the C/D class of snoRNA which contain the C (UGAUGA) and D (CUGA) box motifs.
Source: Rfam by way of RNAcentral